RNAcentral lists this ribosomal RNA (253 nucleotides) under uncultured bacterium. Its description in RNAcentral is "partial 16S ribosomal RNA". It matches the Rfam family "Bacterial small subunit ribosomal RNA", at positions 524 to 776 of the family's 1533-position model. The record is from RNAcentral.
UACAGAGGUGGCAAGCGUUGUUCGGAUUCAUUGGGCGUAAAGGGUGUGUAGGUGGCGCGCUAAGUCGGGUGUGAAAUUUCGGAGCUUAACUCCGAAACUGCAUUCGAUACUGGCGUGCUUGAGGACUGGAGAGGAGACUGGAAUUCAUGGUGUAGCAGUGAAAUGCGUAGAGAUCAUGAGGAAGACCAGUGGCGAAGGCGGGUCUCUGGACAGUUCCUGACGCUGAGGCACGAAGGCCAGGGGAGCAAACGGG